This is a non-coding RNA of Pelobates cultripes (western spadefoot toad), 206 nucleotides long. The record is from the annotation of a GenBank genome assembly. NCBI's taxonomy places the organism in Eukaryota, Metazoa, Chordata, Amphibia, Anura, Pelobatidae.
UUUCACUGCCAGCAUUACAUUAGCAUUCCUAAAAUUAAUAAAGAUUGCUAUAGCAGUUUAAAGUACCUUUAUUUUAGACAUGUAUGAUUUAACUCUAUAUACGUAAUGUGGGCAUUAUGCUCAAAUGCAGACAUUCUUUUUACAUUCUGUUGCAAAGUUUACUAAGCUGUACUGCUAAUAAUGUUUUCAGGAUCCUUACAUAUACU